AUUGAACGCUGGCGGCAGGCCUAACACAUGCAAGUCGAACGGUAGCACAGAGAGCUUGCUCUCGGGUGACGAGUGGCGGACGGGUGAGUAACGUCUGGGAAACUGCCCGAUGGAGGGGGAUAACUACUGGAAACGGUAGCUAAUACCGCAUAACGUCGCAAGACCAAAGUGGGGGACCUUCGGGCCUCACACCAUCGGAUGUGCCCAGAUGGGAUUAGCUAGUAGGUGGGGUAAUGGCUCACCUAGGCGACGAUCCCUAGCUGGUCUGAGAGGAUGACACGCCACACUGGAACGGAGACACGGUCCAGACUCCUACGGGAGGCAGCAGUGGGGAAUAUUGCACAAUGGGCGCAAGCCUGAUGCAGCCAUGCCGCGUGUAUGAAGAAGGCCUUCGGGUUGUAAAGUACUUUCAGCGGGGAGGAAGGCGGUGAAGUUAAUAACUUCACCGAUUGACGUUACCCGUAGAAGAAGCACCGGCUAACUCCGUGCCAGCAGCCGCCGUAA
Molecule: ribosomal RNA, 504 nt
Filed under: uncultured bacterium
Lineage: Bacteria
Description: partial 16S ribosomal RNA
Rfam family: Bacterial small subunit ribosomal RNA
Source: RNAcentral